Molecule: ribosomal RNA, 484 nt
Filed under: uncultured bacterium
Lineage: Bacteria
Description: partial 16S ribosomal RNA
Rfam family: Bacterial small subunit ribosomal RNA
Source: RNAcentral
AUUGAACGCUGGCGGCAGGCCUAACACAUGCAAGUCGAGCGGAUGAAGGUAGCUUGCUCCUGGAUUCAGCGGCGGACGGGUGAGUAAUGGCUAGGAAUCUGCCUCGUGGGUGAGGAGAACUGCCGGAAACGGGCGCUAAUACCGCAUGCUGCUUGUGCCGCAAAGGGGGGGGUCGUGGGAUCUCCCGCUAUCAGAUACUCCUAGGUCGGAUGAUCUAGUCGGUGGGGUAAAGGUCUACCAAGGCGUCGAGCCGUAACUGGUCUGAGAGGAGGAUCAGCCACACUGGAUCUGAGACACGGUCGAGACUCCUACGGGAGGACGCAGUGGGGAAUAUUGGACGAUGGACGAAAGCCUGAUCCAGCCCUGCCGCGUGUGUGAAGAAGGUCUUCGGAUUGUAAAGCACUUUAAGUUGGGAGGAAGGGAAGUAAGUUAAUAACUUGCUGUUUUGACGUUACCAAAAGAAUAAGCACCGGCUAACUUCGUG